GCGGGUUUAGCUCAGUUGGGAGAGCGUCAGACUGAAGCCAAAACUUCGGGAACUCUAUCUGAAGGUCAUGUGUUCGAUCCACAUAAACCGCA
Molecule: transfer RNA, 92 nt
Filed under: Dichotomopilus funicola
Lineage: Eukaryota; Fungi; Ascomycota; Sordariomycetes; Sordariales; Chaetomiaceae
Also listed under: 1 other name
Description: tRNA-Phe
Rfam family: tRNA
About the family: Transfer RNA (tRNA) molecules are approximately 80 nucleotides in length. Their secondary structure includes four short double-helical elements and three loops (D, anti-codon, and T loops).
Source: RNAcentral